AUUGCUGUCUUACCAGGCAAAGUUAGAUCUACCUAUUUUUGUCUAAUACUGUCUGGUAAUGCCGUCAAU
Non-coding RNA from Charadrius vociferus (killdeer), 69 nucleotides. NCBI's taxonomy places the organism in Eukaryota, Metazoa, Chordata, Aves, Charadriiformes, Charadriidae. The record is from Rfam.